AUUCCAGCUCCAAUAGCGUAUAUUAAAGUUGUUGCAGUUAAAAAGCUCGUAGUUGAAUUUCUGGCGCCACCGGCGGUCCUUCCUCAGUGUUGCGACUUGUGUGUGUGAUGCCAUUUUUGUCGGGUGCGGUGGGGCGCUUGAUUGUGUCCUGCCGUGUUUAAGCCCGGCAUCGUUUACUGUGAACAAAUUAGAGUGUUUAAAGCGGGCUGUUAGCUUGAAUACAUUAGCAUGGAAUAAUGAUAUAGGACUUUGGGACUAUAUUCGUUGGUUGAGUACCGAAGUAAUGAUUAGUAGGGAUAGUUGGGGGUAUUCAUAUUUGAUUGUCAGAGGUGAAAUUCUUGGAUUUAUUAAAGAUGAACAACUGCGAAAGCAUUUACCAAGGAUGUUUUCAUUA
This 394-nucleotide ribosomal RNA is filed under the name Bicosoeca sp. RNAcentral's name for it is "partial small subunit ribosomal RNA". It matches the Rfam family "Eukaryotic small subunit ribosomal RNA", at positions 582 to 975 of the family's 1831-position model. Lineage: Eukaryota; Bigyra; Bicosoecida; Bicosoecidae. The record is from RNAcentral.